UAGCUCACUGGUUAAGAGCACUGGCUACAUUUCCAGAGGACCUGGGUUCAAGUCCCAG
This 58-nucleotide transfer RNA is filed under the name Rattus norvegicus (Norway rat). Lineage: Eukaryota; Metazoa; Chordata; Mammalia; Rodentia; Muridae. The record is from Rfam by way of RNAcentral.